UGUGGGAGCGGGCUUGCCUGCGAUGCAGGCACCUUGGUACAUCAGGUACACCGAGUUGAUGCCAUCGCAGGCGAGCCAGCUCCCACA
Molecule: unclassified non-coding RNA, 87 nt
Filed under: Pseudomonas salomonii
Lineage: Bacteria; Pseudomonadati; Pseudomonadota; Gammaproteobacteria; Pseudomonadales; Pseudomonadaceae
Source: RNAcentral